UAUCCUAAAGCCUCUCUAGCAACUUGGAAACACGUUGGAUAUCAUUUAUUCUCUGGCCUCCACCUCUUCCGUCUUCCGUUCUUGCACCCGCCACAUCCUCUCCUUCCUCCCUUCUUUCCAUCUUUUUAACGUUGCCCCUUCAUGCUUAAAUCCUCCCUGCACAACCUCUCUCUCCACUCUUAAUCCAGUUACUAAUACUUCCGGAAAAAGGCUUCUGGUGAUAUUGGGAAUGUUGUUUUAAAUGGUAUACACUCAAACAAUGUGACAACUUCUAAAGUGCUUAAGCAGGAUGAAGAUAGACAGGAAUUACAGGGCGGAGACAGUUCAAAAUCUGGUGAACACCACAGGGAAGCUAAUACCACUAUCAUAUCAAGUAGGCCGACAACUACUGGGCCACUGCAAUGUGUUUGAUAAAAUGCCUGAAAAAGAAUAGGUUCAUUUUCUUCCAGUCACUGUGCUUUUGUUUUGCUUGCUUGGAAGGUGACUCUUAGUUUCGGCAUAAUGUGUCUUAGACUUUUUGAGCUACUUUACACUAGAAAACAUUUUAUUAGAACCAAUAGGUCUUCAGCUUUUUUCUUGAACUCCACAUUUUAUCACUCUUCAAAAGACGCUCUCAACUUGCAAUGGUAUCAGGAUGAGUUUCCCAAGGUGAAAGAGUUGACCGAUUUGCUAGCAAAUGUGGAUACAGUUAACGGGAGACUUGUUGAUGUAAACAGCAAUACAACCGUAUUUGAUGAUGGCUUUGAACGUGAAAUAUGUACCUUCAAGUCUCUUGUCCGUGUGUUUGUUGGGUCUCCAUUUGUUCAGCACAGGAUGAAACAUGUUUUGACCUCUUUUACCACAAGCACACAACAUGAAUCGUUUACCCCUUUUAGUAAAGUAAUUGAAACUUGAAAGAGAGCCUAUGGUGGUUGAUUCGUUGACCAAAGUGGGCAACUUUCUCAAUGUCUCUGCUCAACAAAGGAAUUUGGUUCGUUUAAGAGUGUGCCCACAGGUUACUCAGCAUUGCAUAUGGACUGGUGCACUAAAAGAAGUUCUGAAUGGUUUUGCAGUAGAUUUGAAUUGUUUGAGUUCUCGGGGCUUAAACAAUGGUGCUUUAUUGCGUGGCCAAAUUGGUCAAAGCUGCUUGAAGUUUCUUACUGAAAUUUUUGUCUGUUUGCACCCUGAGUCAUCUUCUUGGCUGAAGUUUUCUCCUUCUAAAAUAGUUGAUCGCUAUGAUCCUCGGAAAUGGGAAGAUGUUCUUGUAAUGUUCAAUGAUCUGACUGAAUGCUGUAGAAGUGAAAAUAUGUUGAAGUUGCAUGUGGCUAAGGCUGAGGUCAUGAAGGAGGGGCUUUUUCACAUUAGGGAUGUUUUAGUUGACAACAAUAUUGGAUAUAAGGAAGCUCAACAUCAAGAAAGCUUAGUGAAGAAGAAGCUUUCCAAAAUGUUGGGUCACUCGUCUCGUUGCUUAUUCACUCUAUUACUGUAUUACCUCUAGGGGAGGGUUGCAGAUAUCGAAGUAGACAUGUGUGGUGGGGUCUAUGUAGAUGGAAGUGAUGGCAAGUUUUGCUUGUUUAUGGGAAGAAUCUUGACUUCAGAUAGUGAGAAGACGCUGGGGUGUGGUGUGAAGCAGUUGGACUGAGCGCUUGGGAUUUUUAAGUUUGUGUGGGAAAUGGCUAGAAUGAAAGGACAUUUAGAUUUGCAGGGCCAUAUGUGGCGUGUUGGAGCAGACAAUAAGAUGCUUAGGUAUAGAGGAAACAUAUACUUCGUGCAUGGGAUUUUCCUUUUAUUAGAGAUUAUGUCACCACUUACUAUUUAUAUAAUCUUUUUGCUGCCUAUGGUUUUAGUUUGUAUGGUUUUACAAUUUCAAAUUACCAACAUCUUAAAUUGAUUUUGUUUUUGUUUUUGUUUUUCUUUUGGAGCUUGGACUUUUGCAACUACAAGUACACACUUCUUGAAGAUCUAGUUGUGAAAGAAAAAAAAAAUUCAAUUCCAGAACCUCAGCAGUUGGCAACAGAAAAUUUUUCUACACUAACAACUAAGGAAAGACUGGGAUCACACUCAACGCAUUGUAGAAUACCAAGUAAAAUCUUGGAAAAGAGAUCAUAAAGGAGGAUUGGGGAAAAUUGCAUGUACACAUUGCUUCAUACAACAACUUCCUUACUGCAGCAGGAUUGGCUUCUUCUGCUGCAGGUUUUGCCUGCCUUGGCCCUCUUACCGAAGGAAAAGAGGAUUCAUUAUCACGACUUUGUGGUGUAGAUAUUACAUAUAUGAAUAAUAGAGUUGAAUAUAAGAAAGACAAAAAAGAAAUAGCUCAAUAUGAAUUCUUGGAUGUAAUGUUACACAACUUUGAUUCUUGAAUUGAAGAUGAAUAAUUCCAGAGUUGCCAUUGAAUAUAACAAAGACAAAAAAUGGAAGUUAUCAUCAAGAAGAUUGGUGGAGUUCUUCUUGAUAAUAAUGUGCAGUUGUCUAAUUGCGAGAUUGUUGGACUUGCACCUCCUUGAUUUCUUUCAAUUCAUUGGGCUCAAGAUAAUGGUACUACAAGGAAGUUUUAUAAUUGUGAGUCUCGGUGGACCUAGACCUGCAUUAUGGGAGGAGGAAAACUCUUGAUGUGGUCUCACACAGUGUUAGAGAUUUGUUGAGAUCUUUCAAGAUAAUUGAGUGUGAAGCUGUCCUAUUGCACACAUGGAUGAUAUCUACUAGGGCGGUGAUGGAUAGUGAGAGCACAUCAAAGACAAGAAGAUAGUUCUUUAGGGACAGUGAGAGCAUAUCAAAGACAAGAAGUUUAAUUUCUUCUUUGAUAAAAUUGGUGGAUUUUUUGCAACUCCUUGAACUGAAGAUAAUGCUAUCUGCAAGGUACUUCUCUAAUUACGAGAUUGUUGGGUUAAUUUCAACUCCUCGGGCUCAAGAAAAUGCUAUGUACAAGAUAUUUCUCUAAUUGGGAGGUUAGUAUCUCUUUCGUUUAAGUAGGGCUUUGACCAUAAAAUUUGUCAUAAAUCGCUUGAAAUGUUUUUUUCCUGUUUCAAGACGGCAACUUACUAUUUAUUUAUAGACAACAUCAUGUCAUGUAUCAAUUAUGUUUUGCCGUCUGGACGGAGUGAUUUGCCCAAUUUAGCCUUCACUAGUGUUAAUUAAAUCUAAUCAAUACUCGAUCAAAAAGAUAAUUUUUCUAUCACAUGUAUCUUGUAAAUAUACUUGGAUUCAAUAAUUGAGGAUUUGAAUUUGCCAGAUUUGGGUGGGAUUUGAUGUAAUGCAUAUUCUAAAAUAGAAUUAUUUGAUAAAGUGACAAUAUAAUGAGCACAUUGUUAGAAUAGCUUGUUUAGGAAGUCUCUUAAUAUUUAAAUAUU
This is a non-coding RNA of Cajanus cajan (pigeon pea), 3326 nucleotides long. The record is from RefSeq and is a predicted model, not a curated record. Lineage: Eukaryota; Viridiplantae; Streptophyta; Magnoliopsida; Fabales; Fabaceae.